UACAGAGGUGGCAAGCGUUGUUCGGAAUUACUGGGCGUAAAGGGCGCGUAGGCGGCCAUCUAAGUCAGACGUGAAAUCCCCCGGCUUAACCUGGGAACUGCGUCUGAUACUGGAAGGCUCGAGUUUGGGAGAGGGAUGUGGAAUUCCAGGUGUAGCGGUGAAAUGCGUAGAUAUCUGGAGGAACACCGGUGGCGAAGGCGGCAUCCUGGACCAACACUGACGCUGAGGCGCGAAAGCUAGGGGAGCAAACAGG
This 253-nucleotide ribosomal RNA is filed under the name uncultured bacterium. RNAcentral describes it as "partial 16S ribosomal RNA". It matches the Rfam family "Bacterial small subunit ribosomal RNA", at positions 524 to 776 of the family's 1533-position model. The record is from RNAcentral.